UGGAAUAAUAGAAUAGGAUCUCGGUUCUAUUUUGUUGGUUUACGGAACUUGAGGUAAUGAUUAAGAGGGACAGACGGGGGCAUUCGUAUUACGGUGUUAGAGGUGAAAUUCUUGGAUCGCCGUAAGACGAACUACUGCGAAAGCAUUUGCCAAGAAUGUUUUCAUUAAUCAAGAACGAAAGUCAGAGGAUCGAAGACGAUCAGAUACCGUCGUAGUUCUGACCAUAAACGAUGUCGACUGGCGAUCCGCGGGAGUUGUCCUUCUAUGACCCCGCGGGCAGCCUUCGGGAAACCAAAGUUUUUGGAUUCCGGGGGAAGUAUGGUUGCAAAGCCGAAACUAAAGGAAUGACGAAGG
Molecule: ribosomal RNA, 354 nt
Filed under: Erpobdellidae environmental sample
Lineage: Eukaryota; Metazoa; Annelida; Clitellata; Hirudinida; Erpobdellidae
Description: SSU rRNA
Rfam family: Eukaryotic small subunit ribosomal RNA
Source: RNAcentral